Pteronotus mesoamericanus is the source of this 182-nucleotide small nuclear RNA. RefSeq annotates it as U2 spliceosomal RNA. The transcript has a single exon. The record is from RefSeq and is a predicted model, not a curated record. NCBI's taxonomy places the organism in Eukaryota, Metazoa, Chordata, Mammalia, Chiroptera, Mormoopidae.
AUGGCUUCUUGGCCUUUGGCUAAGAUCAAGUGUAGUGCCUGUUCUCAGUUUAAUGUCUGACGUGUCCUCUACCAAGGACAAUAUGUUAAAUGGAUUUUUGGAGCAGGGAGAUGGACUAGGAGCUUGCUCCACUCUGCUCAUUGACCCCGUAUUACAGUAGCUCUGGGAAUGGUGCACAAAAG